UUUUUAUUAAGGGCGGUGUGCAGUAUUCUUUUAAUUAAGGGGAGUGUGCAGGGUUUAAAAAAAUAAAUACAAAAUGCACAGCAUUGAGUAUUAAUAUAAAAACAUGACUAGGCACAAACAAUCCAGCUACAGAAUUUAGUAUUAAAAUGAUUUACACAGUGCCCCUGAUAAUACUGUUAAAUAUGAUCCCAAGCAUGUUUCUGUGACUGCAUUGCUACAUUAUAGUUAUUUUCUAUAUUUUUAAUAAUUUAGUCUAAUUUGUAUUUAACAAAAAAGAAAGAAAGAAUAAAGGCAGCCUAGUCUUGACAGAGCUCAGACAUGUCUGAAGUUAAGGCCAAUUGAUG
This is a non-coding RNA of Pelobates cultripes (western spadefoot toad), 344 nucleotides long. Lineage: Eukaryota; Metazoa; Chordata; Amphibia; Anura; Pelobatidae. The record is from the annotation of a GenBank genome assembly.